Zophobas morio is the source of this 1244-nucleotide long non-coding RNA. RefSeq lists it as uncharacterized. Lineage: Eukaryota; Metazoa; Arthropoda; Insecta; Coleoptera; Tenebrionidae. The transcript is spliced from 3 exons. The record is from RefSeq and is a predicted model, not a curated record.
UUAUUUAAAAGAUAAAUGCAGUCUAUUCGGUAGUUGACAAGAUUGUAAAGGAAGCGAAUAACACUUAUAGCACGUCUGGUAUUUAAGGUUGUUAAGUUAAAUCUUGCCAAAAGAAGCGAAUGAUCAAGACCAAUAGGGGGAUAAACACCAUCAACAACAUAAGAAAUUAAUUUAAGAAAUUUCCUUUGCAACGAUUCAAUGUGAUCUUUAUGAAUAUUGUAUAUAGGGUACCAUAUCAAUGCACAGUAUUGCAGCCUGGAUCUAAUCAAUGAGGCAUAAAGGAGUAGCAGAACAGAUGCAUCGGUGAAAUCUUUGCAAUUCCUAUAAAUGAAACCAUAAGUUUUGUAAGCGAUGCCCAAAGUAUCAGAAAUGUGAUCCGUGAAAUAGAAUUUUUGAUCAAAUAGAACACCGAGGUCCUUGAUUGAAUCAACACGAUUUAUAACCUCUUCAUUUAACGAAUAAUCAUGUAGUAAUAAUUUAGAUUUUCUCGAGAAAGUCAUUGCAUUGCAUUUGGAUACGUUAAGGGUUAAGCGAUUUUGUGCACACCAGUUUGAGAUUGCCAUCUUCAUUUGACGGGACAACAGAGUUCUGAACAGGUUAACCAACCUUACUUUUUUACAAGUGGACAGAUUGAAAUGGCGCCGACUUUAUGUACUUAUACAUAUUAGCCAAAUACACUGACGUCAUCCGAGGUCAUCAAGAUGGCAGCGUUUGACAACUAGCCGGUUUUCUCAUAAGAGUCAAUGCUAAUAUUUUCGGAAUUCAUUUAAAUUUGAGAGUGUGUCAACUGUAUAUUUAUAGUUUGGAGAAAAUGCCUAAAUUUUGUGCUGUUGUGGGUUGCGCGAAUCGAAGCACCAGAAAUACGGACAAAUUUUAUUUUCCUUUCCCAGCAAUUAGCAACAAUAAAGGUAAAUAUGUACAGGAUGGGGAAAAAAGGCGGAAGCUUUGGUUAAAAGCCUUGAAACGAGUGGAUUUAACGAAGCCAAAGUAAAGUAUCCCUAUAUUUGUUCGGAUCAUUUUAUUUUAGGUACAGUAACUACCUAUUAGAUUUACAGUUUCUAAUAAAUUACUACAUUGAUGCUCUUUUAGAUAAACCUGCAGAUUUGUCGGAUGUGGACCAGCCUGAUUAUGUUCCAUCACAAAAUUUAGGAUAUCAAAAUAAAUUCACUCAUAAUACUUGUAAUGUUGAAAGACACAGUCGUUUAAAAAAGAGAAAACUGAAUAAAUGCCUCUAGACUUUUGAA